RNAcentral lists this ribosomal RNA (425 nucleotides) under uncultured bacterium. RNAcentral's name for it is "bacterial SSU rRNA". It matches the Rfam family "Bacterial small subunit ribosomal RNA", at positions 354 to 796 of the family's 1533-position model. The record is from RNAcentral.
GUGGGGAAUAUUGGACAAUGGGCGCAAGCCUGAUCCAGCAAUGCCGCGUGAGUGAAGAAGGUCUUCGGAUUGUAAAGCUCUUUCGACGGGGACGAUGAUGACGGUACCCGUAGAAGAAGCCCCGGCUAACUUCGUGCCAGCAGCCGCGGUAAUACGAAGGGGGCUAGCGUUGCUCGGAAUGACUGGGCGUAAAGGGCGCGUAGGCGGUUCGUACAGUCAGACGUGAAAUUCCCGGGCUCAACCUGGGGGCUGCGUUUGAUACGUGCGGGCUUGAGUUCGGAAGAGGGUCGUGGAAUUCCCAGUGUAGAGGUGAAAUUCGUAGAUAUUGGGAAGAACACCGGUGGCGAAGGCGGCGACCUGGUCCGAUACUGACGCUGAGGCGCGAAAGCGUGGGGAGCAAACAGGAUUAGAUACCCUUGUAGUCC